ACAGAGGUCUCAAGCGUUGUUCGGAUUCAUUGGGCGUAAAGGGUGCGUAGGUGGCGCCGUUAGUCAGGUGUGAAAUCUCGGGGCUUAACUCCGAAACUGCAUUUGAUACUGCGGUGCUUGAGGACUGGAGAGGAGACUGGAAUUCAUGGUGUAGCAGUGAAAUGCGUAGAGAUCAUGAGGAAGACCAGUGGCGAAGGCGGGUCUCUGGACAGUUCCUGACACUGAGGCACGAAGGCCAGGGGAGCAAACGGGAUUAGAUACCCCGGUAGUCCUGGCAGUAAACGGUGCACGUUUGGUGUGGGGGGAUUCGACCCCUUCUGCGCCGGAGCUAACGCGUUAAACGUGCCGCCUGGGGAGUACGGUCGCAAGAUUA
This 373-nucleotide ribosomal RNA is filed under the name uncultured bacterium. RNAcentral describes it as "bacterial SSU rRNA". It matches the Rfam family "Bacterial small subunit ribosomal RNA", at positions 525 to 896 of the family's 1533-position model. The record is from RNAcentral.